RNAcentral lists this unclassified non-coding RNA (275 nucleotides) under Hevea brasiliensis (rubber tree). Lineage: Eukaryota; Viridiplantae; Streptophyta; Magnoliopsida; Malpighiales; Euphorbiaceae. The record is from RNAcentral.
UCCAGAACUUACCGCCACGGAGGCACGUAGAAGGUGGGCCCAUCGGCAUUCUGGACGGUCUUCAAAUUGCACAACGGCUAGCUCAAGAUCCCGAUGUGCUACUAGCACUGCGCGCCGCACCAAAAUAACCCGACCGAAGAAGAAAUGUUGUCAGGAUACGAAAGUGUUUUUCAGAAUUUCCGGGUACGCUGCGCUACUUGCUCCAACUCUACUUGCCUCAAGUGUCUCCUUUGCUCAGGGCAAUGAAUCGGCAUGGCCGGCUGCGCUGAUCUGUC